UGUUUCGGCUAGGGGGCCAUCCCGGCUUACCAACCCGAUGCAAACUGCGAAUACCGGAGAAUGUUAUCACGGGAGACACACGGCGGGUGCUAACGUCCGUCGUGAAGAGGGAAACAACCCAGACCGCCAGCUAAGGUCCCAAAGUCAUGGUUAAGUGGGAAACGAUGUGGGAAGGCCCAGACAGCCAGGAUGUUGGCUUAGAAGCAGCCAUCAUUUAAAGAAAGCGUAAUAGCUCACUGGUCGAGUCGGCCUGCGCGGAAGAUGUAACGGGGCUAAACCAUGCACCGAAGCUGCGGCAGCGACACUCAGGUGUUGUUGGGUAGGGGAGCGUUCUGUAAGCCUGUG
Molecule: ribosomal RNA, 345 nt
Filed under: Salmonella enterica subsp. enterica serovar Singapore
Lineage: Bacteria; Pseudomonadati; Pseudomonadota; Gammaproteobacteria; Enterobacterales; Enterobacteriaceae
Description: partial 23S ribosomal RNA
Rfam family: Bacterial large subunit ribosomal RNA
Source: RNAcentral